Molecule: long non-coding RNA, 354 nt
Filed under: Vigna radiata
Lineage: Eukaryota; Viridiplantae; Streptophyta; Magnoliopsida; Fabales; Fabaceae
Description: long non-coding RNA (VRAD_LNC011288)
Source: RNAcentral
UGCAGAUUCACCUUAAAAGUUCGAUUUUGGGCAAGAGGGCUUUGAGCACCAACGACUGCCUUUCAUCAAAAACUUCGAUGUGUCUUCGCUGCAUUGUCACAGUGUAUCCUUUCUCAAGUAGCUGUCCUAAGCUAAGUAAGUUAUACUUCACUGACGGGACAUACAACACAUCAUCCAUAUACGCAACUCCACCAUUUCUGCACCUGAUUAGGAUUUUGCUGAUUCCUUUCGUCGUUACUGGGUUAUCAUCCGCGAAUCUCACACUACUUCUCACUCUUUGAUCAAGAUUCACCGACCAUUCUCUCCUUUCAGUCAUGUGGUUUGAACACUGAUGAGUCGAUAUUUUAUUGAUUU